GUCCAGGGGGCCGCCUUCGCCACCGGUAUUCCUCCAGAUCUCUACGCAUUUCACCGCUACACCUGGAAUUCUACCCCCCUCUACAAGACUCUAGCCUGCCAGUUUCGAAUGCAGUUCCCAGGUUGAGCCCGGGGAUUUCACAUCCGACUUGACAGACCGCCUGCGUGCGCUUUACGCCCAGUAAUUCCGAUUAACGCUUGCACCCUCCGUAUUACCGCGGCUGCUGGCACGGAGUUAGCCGGUGCUUCUUCUGCGGGUAACGUCAAUCGACAAGGUUAUUAACCUUAUCGCCUUCCUCCCCGCUGAAAGUACUUUACAACCCGAAGGCCUUCUUCAUACACGCGGCAUGGCUGCAUCAGGCUUGCGCCCAUUGUGCAAUAUUCCCCACUGCUGCCUCCCGUAGGAGUCUGGACCGUGUCUCAGUUCCAGUGUGGCUGGUCAUCCUCUCAGACCAGCUAGGGAUCGUCGCCUAGGUGAGCCGUUACCCCACCUACUAGCUAAUCCCAUCUGGGCACAUCUGAUGGCAAGAGGCCCGAAGGUCCCCCUCUUUGGUCUUGCGACGUUAUGCGGUAUUAGCUACCGUUUCCAGUAGUUAUCCCCCUCCAUCAGGCAGUUUCCCAGACAUUACUCACCCGUCCGCCGCUCGUCA
Molecule: ribosomal RNA, 649 nt
Filed under: Enterobacter asburiae
Lineage: Bacteria; Pseudomonadati; Pseudomonadota; Gammaproteobacteria; Enterobacterales; Enterobacteriaceae
Description: partial 16S rRNA
Source: RNAcentral